GUGUCGAGUACGGACCGGAAACACCGGUCGGCCCGCUCUCGUGCUCAGAGGCCUCGCCAGCGUUGGGCCACAUGUGUCUCGCGUAUAUCGUUUUCCCGUGGAAAGAGCUACGCCGAAAAUGCGCCGCGUUUACGUAAUCCGCGGUAACGCGAUGCCACGCCGGUGCUGGUAAAAAGACCAACCGCGCGGUGGGUGUACACGAGUGCGGGAAGUUCCGUCUCGCGAUCCGCGUGUCGUCGCGCGAGAGAGAGUGCGCGGUGCGUGCGUGCGUGCGUGUGUGUGCUCCGUCUCUCGCGCGGAGUUUUUAACAACGCGCUGCGGGCAAAGUAGUCGUCCCCUUGCCGGGAGAGAAGGUGGGUAGAAAAGGACGAAGAGAGGCGGAAUCGUAACCGCUCUCGCUAGCGUGAGCCGGGCCGCGCGCGUAUGGUGCACGUUCCGCGUCGCCCCUCGACAGCGUUCGUCCGGAGCUGGGGAGCGACAACAGCGGCAGCAGCAGUAGCAGCGGUAACAACCGCUCCUCGGUGAUCUACGAUUCCACGGCGCCGACGUUCGGGCUUCCGUCCGGUGUGCGCGGAGGGUAUAUAAAGCGUGGACCAAUCGCGGCGAAAGCGCCGAGUCAGCGCGCCGGAGCGUCGCACCCUAACCCCCGCGGGAUCCGAGCACGAGGUCGCGUGCGCGCGCGCGCGCGCGCUCGUCUCGCCUCGCCUCGCCUCCGCGCAAUUGCGUUGCCGGCGACCGGGUGACGACGUGGGUGUCGCGCGCCGGGACGUGCACGCGGCGCACGUAGGCGCCCACAUCUGCUUUGUUCGCGCGACCGCGUGGCGUGCGCGCGUGCGUGCGUGAGGAAACUGCCCAGUGCCCAUUCGUCUCCGCGAGUGCCGGCUCGCGGUGUCGCGUCUCCUUUGUUGCGCCCGACGCACCGCGAAGGACCGAGGACUCCCCCUCCUUCCCCUAGGAUGAGGCGCGGGGAUGCGCGCGCUAGGUUAUAGUUCGCCAGCUCUCCCGUGAAGAAUCCUCCGCGAGAGUCAUCGUCGGCGGCCGUGAUCGGCGUGAUCGCGAGAGUUCCUUCCCCCUCCUUCCUCUUAACCGGUGAGUGAAGGAGACAGAGAAAGAGAGAGAGAGAGAGAGAAAAAGAGAAGAAUCAUCGCGGAAGAGGGAGAGAAGAAGAGAGGAAGAGGAGAGUCUCCGCGAGUGUCGCCGACGACAGCGACGAAUUCGGCGGACACGGUGGACCUCGUGCCGCGGACCUCGUGCUUUUUGCCCCGUGACGGCGUGCGCCGCGAGAUGGCGGCCAAGUUAGCCAGCCAGGGUGGCGCUCGCGGCAGCGGCGAGCGGCAGGAGGCGGGGCCCUGCCAGUCCUACGCCAGUGUCCUGAAUCCGAAAGGUGCCUCGCAGAGCCGCGCGAGCUCGUUCAAGAGCAACAAUAAGGAGAACAUUGACGAUCAAGUGACAGUGUCGCAGCAGCACCAGCAGCAACAGCAACAGCAGCAGCAGCACCACCAGCAGCAACAACAUACGCAUCAGCCAACGACAAAUGCGAGGGAGAGAUUAGCGCCGAGUGGAAAGGGCGGCAAGUCCUACCAGAGGGUAACCCGGUGCCCUCAGGCUGCCUCGGAGAGCAUGCCGUCGGUCGCGCAGGUCGGCGCCGUUCUCGAGGCGUCGGCGUCGGCGUCGCGCGGGGAUGACGGCCGGCCCGACUCCAACCGGCUGAUCAACCCCGUCGGCAACGGGGACGGCGAGUUCCAGACGGUCGCCACGAAGGGCGCCCGUCGCAAGGAGAAGAUGAUGCGCGAGCACCAUCGCGACAGCCAGCACCGGGAGCGUCACCGGCUGCGCGAGAACAACAACCGCCAUCAUCAGCCAGCACCACCACGUGGUGGUGCCAGUGGCGUCGGGGGCGGAGGCGCCGUUAGACGCGGCAGCGACGAGAGAUCGUCGCACAGAGAGCGCGCCGACCGCAAUGGCGUCCCCGGCGACGGCUACGGCCUGAAGGAGGCACAUCAUCAUCACCACCAUCAUCAUCACCACAAGCAGGACGAGCAGAGUGUCGGAGAGUCGGAGGUGCUGUCGGCGCCCUUGCCGCCACCGCCGCCGGUCAAGUAUGUCGAGGCGCCUUUACCCGCGGUGAAUCCCUGGACGAGGAACCGGACGUCGUCGGUGCAGCCGGCUGCACCUCAGCAGCAGCCCGCGACCAAGACCCUGCAGCCACAGCCGCAACCGCAACCGCAGCAGCAGCCACCCUCCGAUAUCCCCGUGACAUCCGACAAACCGACGGAAAGGGAGAGGAGAGUGCUGCAGCCGCAACAGCAGCAGCAACAGCAACAGCAGGGCGCAACCUUGGAAAAUGGCGUCGAGAAUGGUGGCCAGCCUACAAUUGUCAGAGCUCCUAGGGAUAAAAGGAAAAUUAAUCAAAACGCGAGCGAUUUUACGAACAUUGGAGACUGGCCUACUUUAGGAACGCAAGUAGAGAGAAAAGCAAUCAUAUCUCCUCCAAAGCAAAAUGGUGUGUUGAAUGGUGAGCCAAGUACUUCUAAGGCGUCUAACACUGUCGAAAGCAAAAGCAAAGAAAACAAGGAGCAGAUUAGCUAUCAAGAUGAUAGCGACGAGCACAUGGAUAAUAGUGAAAAGAAAAAGAAAGCGAAUAAACAAAAAUGGGUUCCGCUUGAAAUUGAUUUGGCACAAAAUCGUGGGACCAUGCGAUCGCCGAGAUUUCAAAAUCACAGAGAAAGAAAUGGCGAAGCGAAUGAUGGUGAGCACUGGCGUGAAAGGGACGAUAGAUCAACGGGAUACAAUUCGCGAGGACGCGGUGGAAGAAAUUACCGCGGUAGAGGACGGGGCGGACGCGGUCGUGGUGGCUUUAGACAUCGAUACGAUCAUGAGUACUCAAAUUAUGCGGCGGACUGUAUACAGACCCAUAAAUACGAACCGGAUUCCGGUGCAUAUAUGAUUACACCUUACAUGGGAACAUGCUAUUUUAAUAAUGCAAAUUACAUAGAUCCUACAACAUUAAAAGAAUAUAUACGAAAACAAAUAGAAUAUUACUUUUCUGAAGAAAAUCUUGUGAAAGACUUCUUUCUACGUCGUAAAAUGAAUGCUGAAGGAUUUUUGCCUCUCAAUUUAAUUGCAUCUUUUCAACGUGUAUUAAAUUUAACGACAGAUUUAGAUUUGGUGAUAGAGGCAGUUUCAGAAUCUGAUAGACUAGAGCUGAUGGAAUUAGAAGAUGGUUCUAAACAGAUUAGGACAAGUUUCGAGCCAUUAAAAUGGCCUCUUUCGGACAUAGCCAAUAAUAUUACCUUUUCAAAUCUCAUGCAACAGUCUGUUCCACCUCAAAACGAAGUAAUUCCUACCUCUGAAACUAUAUUUUGUCCCGUCGCAAAACCUUUAUCUACAAUGCCUGCUCCCCCAGUUCCUCGUGUGUUUGAAUCUUACCAUUCCAUUUCGACAGUAAGAAGACAUAGCGAAUCAGAGAUAAAUUCUUUGGCAAAUGAGAUUCUAAAUCCCGAUGUGCCAGAAUUUGUGCCGACAACGGAAAGGGCUAAUGGAGUUACAGCUACAAAUAAAAACAAUCAAACGAAGAACAAAUUUCACUUUGAAAAGAUAAAGGAAACAUUAGCUAUUGCAGAAAAAUAUCUGCUUUCUCCUGAGAAUGAUCCUCCUACGAAGAUAAAAGAAGACAACAAAUUACUUACCACAACAGAUAUUCACACUUCAGACAGUUUAUCAGAACGAAUGAACGGAGAAUCGGAUUCAUCGAGCGAUAAUGCUUGGAAAGAGGUGAGAAGAAGAGUGAAGCAACCACACAAAGAUAGAUCGGAAGAUAAAGAGAAAUCUGAAGCCAUAAAAAAUGCAGUACGAGAGGAACUGCAUUUUCAGUUUGACGAGGAAUUCGAUUCGCCGCCACCUACUGGUCGACAUAAUGCCUUUUCGGAAUGGUCUGAAGAUGAGGAUGACAAUGAACUGUCGGACAGAGAUAUUAAUAAACUAUUAAUAUUUACACAAACUUGUGCCACGUCAACUAGAAUCCCAAAACAUGAAGGCUAUGAUAGAACAGGAGAUUGGAUUACGAGAACAAAAAUGACUCAAGACUUGGUACAACUUAUCAAUGAUGGAUUAUAUUAUUACGAAGAAGAAUUACGACGAAAACAUGGCUCUUCUUCGUCUAUUGGGAGCUACAAAACGGUUAAUAUGAUUAGCCAAGAAGAUUUCGAAAAAAUGGCACCAAAAGCGCCAAAAAAAGCAAAUCCAGAGGUUCCGCCACCACCUCCUGCCAUAGAAGAUUUAGAAAUUUCGCAGUCGAUUUCGUCGUCACAGUUUCCAAGCACGAGUCCAGAGAAAAAGGAUUACAGAUCAGAAAAGAAUCGUUGGAGUGAUAAAUUAUAUCCGAAAGAAGCACGGGGAAAUACUGCUCCUCGUUUCUUUGCUGUUGUGAAAGACAGACCAUCUGUAGAUCCGAGAACGCCAAGAAAAAGAAAAACUCGUCACAGUAAUAAUCCUCCAGUGGAGCACCAUAUUGGUUGGAUUAUGGACGUUCGAGAGCAUCGUCCCCGAACAUAUUCCACGGGGAGUAGCGCAGGUACAAGUCCCAAUGAAGGUUAUCUUGCUAACAGUUACGGCAGCGUUCCUAGUGUUUACGAGCACCCGAGUCACGCUUUGUUAAAGGAUAAUGGGUUUACUCAACAAGCAUAUCACAAAUAUCGUUCUCGUUGCUUGAAAGAACGCUCAAGAUUAGGUAUCGGACAAUCGCAAGAGAUGAACACUCUUUUCCGUUUCUGGUCGUUUUUCUUGCGAGAAAACUUCAAUCGUACUAUGUACGAAGAAUUCAGGACUGUAGCCAAAGAGGAUGCCUGUGCAGGAUACCGAUACGGAUUAGAGUGCCUUUUCAGAUUUUAUAGUUAUGGCUUGGAGAAAAAGUUUAAACAUACGCUGUAUACAGAUUUUGAAACAGAAACGAUGCAAGAUUAUGAAAGCGGACAGCUCUAUGGACUGGAAAAAUUCUGGGCAUUUUUGAAGUAUUAUAAGAAUUCUAAUAAGCUUCGUGUAGAUUCUAAAUUGCAAGAGUACCUAUCAAAAUUUAAGAAUAUUGAAGACUUCAGAGUUGUAGAACCUCAAAUAAAAGAGAUGCUUCAAACCGCAAGAUUACGUAAUAGAAGUGUUUCCGAAAGCGCUACAGAAGAGUCACAUACAUGCAGCUACUUACUCACAGACGACUAUAAUACACUGCCAAACGCGCAAGAGUCGCAUUUAUCGCAGUUUCGAAGUAGGGCCGGUUCCUUCGGCUCUAAAUCGUAUCAUUCGCGACGACGGAAUGAUUCCUUGUCGUCUAGCAGCCAGCGAGAUCUCAACAAGCAACAGCUUCGAAAUAGACAGAGCACUGGUUUCUUUGCGAAGCCUUUUGAGACGAGCAAAUCACAAAUCACUGCCAGAGAUCGAACUCAAACCAGCUUCAAGUCUGAAGCAAACAAAUCCGUCACGAUUAAAGCAGAUGGUUCAUCUGCCUCCCAAAAAUAAAGUCGGCAACGCGAGAAAAGUGCGCUAAUUUCGAAUAUUUCUGUAAAAGUGACAGAAAUGAUUGAAUCGCCCUCAGGAUGAAAUGGCGAUAGUAUUUUCGAUAAUGCAUAUUAUUGAACAGUAGAACGUCGUAAUUGGGAAAUGAAAAAUGGAAUUCGUAUAUCCAGUCCUAUUCAUGUGAUUUUGAAGAUUGUUGCUAUGGAGUAUGCAAAAGAGUGACGAGCAAGCGAACAGUAUCGUACUGCGUGAAGAUAUAGUUGUAAGAUACUGUUUGUUCAAGCAAGUGUCUGAUGUACAAAAAGAUGAAGUGCUACCUUUAUCAAAAAGACAGCAUAAAGACUAUAAAUAUGUAUGUAAUAGAUAAGCGCCUAAAUAUUAUACACUUGACUACUUUGUAAAUUCAGAGAUUAAUCAUAUAAUUCAUAAAUACUUAGUUAUGUAGAUAUACCUAUGUAAUGAUUGUUGAAGUUGUGCCGUCUUUUCUGAUUAUCAAAAUUCUCUAAAUUUUAAUUUUUCUGCGAGUAUUUGACUUUUUUUUAUAAGGAUGCCUUUUUGUUUUUUUCUUUUUUAACAGAAAUGUUUUAUAAGAGACACAUAUAUUCUUUAUAUCAUUGAAAUAUAUCAAUAAUAUUUACUUAUUCUCUAAGCAGUAGCAAUUAAAAGUUACACCCCGAGCUUCUAUUUUAAGACUCAACGUAAUUGCGCAAUGUACUUCCAUGUAAUAUUGUUUGUUUUUUUUUUUACAUAUUAACUUUGCUAUAUUUAUUUUUCAUAAAAAUAAACUAAAAACAUCCGCAUGAACAUUACAACACAGUACGUGAGAAAAGUCAACGUUGUUUCAUUAAUUAAAUUGUUCAGAUUUCUCGAUUUCAAAUCGUCUUUGGAAUGGUUUUUAAUAGAAAUCACUUUAUAAAUUCUUAUAUUACCUACGAAUAUACUAUUUGCACUAAUCGAGUUUGCAUAUACAUAUGUUUAUACAUAUGCUGUCUAUGCAAUAAUUAUAUAUGAAUGUUUCGAUGAAAUGAAAGCGUUACGAAGAUUGAUAUCAUAUUAUAUCAUAUUUAUUUUGCAUCAUGAGACAGCUGAGAUAAAAGUUCAUAGAGUUAUUUGUAAAUAGAGAAUUGAUACGCACUUCGGCCGUUUUUAUCAAUCAAAACGAAUUUAUAAAAUGUAGCGAUGGUUGUUCUUUAUUCCUUAAGCGAAUAAGAUGGUCGAUCACGUUAGGCUGUUUGUAAAAUGCAUAUUUGAAGGAUGAUGAGAAAUAAUUUUGCGCAAACGUGCGGGAAACUGCUUACGUUUGUAUCCUAUAAAAUGUCGUCCUGAGCAUACUAGUCACGCAUCGAGCCGACGUACUGUAUCCCGCAUUGUUUACAUGAUUUAUACAAGAGAAAAAAUCAAGAUAGAUGAUACAAUUAUCACAAUACUAAGCAAUAACGCUUGAGUAAACGGUAGUAAUGUUGAUUAGAAAGAUGUACUAGGAAAAAAAAGAUUACAGAUUUUAAACGUUUUCGAACGCAAGAACGGCUGUAAUCUUUGUCGUUGCUUUGAUUUUUUUCGUUAACCAAUAUGUUAUUUGUUACAUGAAAAUAGAUUUACAUAUUAAUAUACAUUUUAAAUAACCCGUGUAAUAUCACACAUGACGAUACACUACGGCCGAAUAUUUCAAUCGUUCGAAAACAGCGCACGCAAAAUGUCUUUUAAAACGUCUGAGUUGCACAAUAUCGACAUUAGCACAAUCUCGAGAUCGAAUAGAAAAUGGGAAUGGAGUUUGCGUAACGUUAGUUGAAACAAUAGACAGGCAAUAAAGCGCAAGAUUGUCUGAGUUCGAUACAAAUGCAUUCUCGUGCAAUCUUUGGGUUUUUUCCGUCUUUUUUCGUCUUCCCAUUGUUACUCCAACGAAAUUUUUUUCGCUAUUUAGAGACAGGAUAUAAUCCAAAAAUUGAAAUUUUACGAAGACGAAAUUUGGCUUCGUAAUGUCGAUCGAGAUUACAAUUAACGUAUUGAUAUAUUACGGACGACACACGCGUUGAUAGUAACAAAAGUUAAACGCUACAAUAUCACUUGUUAAUUUUUUAUUUGGUUAUAAUGAUUAAGAAAUUAAACGGCAGAAAAUAAAGUGCGUCUUACUCCUAAGAGAGUAACGUUUACUCUUUAUAUUAAUUAAAAAAAAGAAAGUAACAUGUUACUUCCAUACAGUUAUAUUGAAAGCUGACAAUGAUUCUUAAAUGGGACGACAAUCGAAGGUCCCGCGUCUGUUCGAGAACGACGUUUUAUCUCCGGCAAGGAGGACCGCGAUAUCGUGCUGUUCGAUUUACAGGCAAAAAUAAAUCAUCAGUGUGAUCAAUGUUACAUCUCCUUUCACUUCACAUUGAUAUACUUCGGAUUUACAACGAAAUACGUUAAUGUUUUUCAAGUUACCACAAAGAAUCGAGAAUAUAAAUUAGAAAAGUGAAGACGAAGGAAAACGCUUUUCCCAAACAAAGGGAAAAAAAAGAUGUAGGAUCAUCGAACAGACGAAAGAUAGUUGUUAGCACAAAUAGUUUCCUAUCAAUUUAUCAGUCGCGAUAUAGUAAUAGAUAUGUACAGAUGACGAGUGCCAGGCGAGAACAGAUAAUAAGAAUAAUCGAAACUACGUGCUCAUUAAUUGUUGUAAAUACUUUCAUAGUUCGACUUUAGCGAUUUAGAUGUACCUGUAGGUUUUUAAGCCAGUGACUGUAGGGUUAAGUUAUAUAUGUAAGUCUUUAUAUAGCGUACGAGAUAAGAUCUUAGUUCGAUAAGUUUAUAAGUUACAUAUACGAUCGGCUUACAUGUUAUUACAGGCUUGUUUCUCGUGGCGUGCUUUGGCCAUUCGUUAAAUACGGGAGGAGAAUAUGGAAAUGAGUUCCGAGAUUUAAAAAACAUGUCAAUAUUGAUGAAGAAAAAAAGAUUCCGACAAAGUACUCGGUGCCAAUUUUUCUCAUUGUAAUGCACCAUUUCGCAUGUAAUAUAUGCUACGCUAUUGUGCAACGUUGUUUCGCCCCUUUCCCCUUUUUUGCAGAAGAGAGACAAAUGUAACAUAAUGUACAUAGUUUUUAUCCAAAGUUGAUAAAAGCCACGCCACGAGAUCGACCCCGAAAUGUAAAAAAAGAUUAUACAUAUACAUAUUAUAUAUAUUAUAUAUAUAUAUAGAUAUAUAUUUCAUAUAAAUAUAUAUAUAUUUAUAUGAAAUAUAAAUUUUUACAUUGUUACUUAUAUACUGCUAAUAAAUCUUAAUUUUACAUUUAAGGCUUAUAUGGCUAAAAUACGGGUGGGGUUUUCUUUUGCUAAUUUUUAACUCUAAAAAAAUGUAUAAAAAAUAUUUCAUAUAAAGAUUAUAUACAUACACUAUAUUAGAUUGCAAGAGAUAAUUAUGUAUCGAUUUACGCGAAAUGUGAUGCGUUUUGAGGAGGGACUACUUAUAUUAAUAUUUUCUUCGGAUCAUCGAUUCGCUGAACCUUUCUUAUUUAGCCUUCUCAAGGUCUCUAUCUCGGAUUUAGAUCUGUCACUUUGAUUCUGUAUCUUUAUCUCAUCCUUUUUUUUUCUUUUUUCGCUUCUUUCAACAAUCUGACUAAACUCGCUCAUAUCGCUCUAAUGAGAUGAUCAUUAGGAUUCCUUUUCAGAUAAUACACGACAUACAGAUAUAAUUAUAUUUAUAACGUUACCAUUUUGUAAUAGUGCCAUUUUUAUAUACUUUGAUACGUAGCUCUCGCGUUUCUUAAUUAGUAAACACGUUGGUGAAAAAGAAGGAAAACAAAUUAGCGCGUCGACUUGGAAGAGGCAGAAUUUGUUAGUGAGAUCCCUCCUUAAACGAGCACAGGAAUGUAUGAUUUUACUUGAGAGGCAUCCUCGGCGGUGAAGAAAGACGAGCGCAAAAUUCAUUAUUCAUCACAGACGAAUCCGCGCGUUUUUUGCCCUCGGACAUCGAUCAGUCGUCAAUCGCGAUCCGAUCUCAAAGAAAUAACGACGUUAAUUAUGAUACGCGAUGUUGUCUAUAUACGAAUACGUUAAUACGUCCUAGUAAUCAUAUUCGUAAUACUUCGUUAAUUCGUCCUAGUAAUCAUAUAUUACUUGUCACUUUAUCUCGUAGUCUUUCGUUACGACUUAUAGAUACGACGAAAUCAGCUCGUACCGUUCGCUUCAUCAACUUUCCCCCUAUCUUACGCGUUUAGUCAGUCGAGUCCCCACAAUUAAUGUCGAGAUCGCGUUUGUGCGAAAUUGUUCUUAAAAUAAAAAAGUCUAGUCGCUUUAAUCGAUCGCUGGCGGAGCCCCUCCCGGUAUCUCUCUCGUGUCAUCGCCUAUCGAUUUGAGUACUUUCGGAGAUUUCGUUCGGAAUCUAACUUCGCAGAAUAUGUCGUACGGAUGAAUCCUAUCACCGACCUGCGAUACAAGAUACCGGGCAGAGAAAACUUUCUUCCGGGCCGCAUUUCCGUUCGCGUACAAUAGUGCCUUCGAGAAGAACUUAAACUUGAACUUCCGGACUGUUAAUAAUAAAAAAAAAGUCGCAUUACUCAUGCAUUUCCAGACGAUGCACAAUAAAAGGGAAGAAACCGGAGUAGAAAGAAAGAAACACGAAUAAAAUAGCGCCGCGAAUUUAAGUAGGAAUAACGUUUAGAGGAUCGCUAGGGAGAGAACUCUUGUAGCAAGCCGGUCGGGAUGCGAAGGCGGGGAGACCGACGAUAAGCUAAGGAUAAACUACCAAGUCCAAGCCUUUCGUUGAAGAUAUAACCACAUAUUUUUUCAAAUUCCGAGAAAAAGAAAACUAGGAGCCGCCUGGAUCGGCGGGAGCCUCGGGAGAUCCUCGGAGUCGAGGAUGGGAGACACCGGAGCCCCGACGUACCACCAGUCCACGUGGCUUCGCAGAACGUGCUAAGCGCAUCGCGCGUCGAUUGUAAAUAAAUAAAAAAAACAACAAAAAAGAUACAUAUAUAUAUAUAGAUAUAUAGAUAUACACCUACGCUUAUACACACAAAGAGUAAACUGCAAAAACGAAAGCCGGCUUAGGGACUCUGGGGAGAGAAAGAGAGAGAGAGAUUGAUAAUAUUCGUAAUCGGUGCGCGAGGGUCUCGAAAGGGGCCACGGGGAUGAGUGAUAAUGUGCUGCGUAUAAUGCGCGUGUAGGAUGGCUUUUGCGAAUGCGGGCGCGUAGUUGUAACGUUUGUGAAUACAUAAAAUAAAACGACCAAAAAACCGAA
Molecule: unclassified non-coding RNA, 10717 nt
Filed under: Monomorium pharaonis (pharaoh ant)
Lineage: Eukaryota; Metazoa; Arthropoda; Insecta; Hymenoptera; Formicidae
Description: la-related protein 1B, transcript variant X1
Source: RNAcentral